AGUAAGUAGUAUAGUGGUAGUACGCGGGGUUUUGGACCCCGAAGGAUGGGUUCGAUGCCCAUUUUUCUA
This 69-nucleotide transfer RNA is filed under the name Bipes biporus. RNAcentral's name for it is "partial tRNA-Gln". It matches the Rfam family "tRNA". Rfam says of the family: Transfer RNA (tRNA) molecules are approximately 80 nucleotides in length. Their secondary structure includes four short double-helical elements and three loops (D, anti-codon, and T loops). The record is from RNAcentral. Lineage: Eukaryota; Metazoa; Chordata; Lepidosauria; Squamata; Bipedidae.